GUAGGGAAUAUUGCGCAAUGGACGAAAGUCUGACGCAGCAACGCCGCGUGGGUGAUGAAGCAUUUCGGUGUGUAAAACCCUGUCAGUGGGGAAGAAACGCACGAGCAGUAACUGGCUCGUGCCUGACGGUACCCGCAGAGGAAGUCCCGGCUAACUCCGUGCCAGCAGCCGCGGUAAUACGGGGGGGACAAGCGUUGUUCGGAUUUACUGGGCGUAAAGGGCGCGUAGGCGGACCUUCAAGUCGGAUGUGAAACCUGGCGGCUUAACCACCAGCCUGCAUUCGAUACUGUUGGCCUUGAGUACGGGAGAGGAGAAUGGAAUUCCAGGUGUAGCGGUGAAAUGCGUAGAUAUCUGGAAGAACACCAGUAGCGAAGGCGGUUCUCUGGACCGAUACUGACGCUAAAGCGCGAAGGCUUGGGGAGCAAACAGGAUUAGAAACCCUUGUAGUCC
RNAcentral lists this ribosomal RNA (450 nucleotides) under uncultured bacterium. RNAcentral's name for it is "bacterial SSU rRNA". It matches the Rfam family "Bacterial small subunit ribosomal RNA", at positions 354 to 796 of the family's 1533-position model. The record is from RNAcentral.